CUCCACAACAAAUGCGUGGAGUACUUUUCGUGACACUCUUGCGCAGGGGAUGUAUAAUGCUUAUAGGGCUUCUCAUUGAUUAUUUCAUGAAUGGACAUUUUGGAGGGCUCUAUUGCUGUUCGUGGUAGGGGGAAAACAAAAGGAAGUGGAUUCCUGUUGAAGAUGAUGAACUGAUCAAAGCAUUGGUUGAUGUUUCUUUGGAUCCGAGGUGGAGGAGUGAUGGGAGUUUCAAGAAUGGUUACACUUCAGUACUUGAAGCUCGCCUCGCUGAAAAGCUACAUGAUUCAAAAAUUUCUGCAACUCCUCAUAUCGAGUAAAGGUUAAGAUACUUCAAGACAAAGUAUUCUGCUUUGGAGCAGAUGUUGAACAAGAGUGGGUUCACAUGGGAUCCGACCAAGAAGAUGAUUUAGUGCGAGAAACAACAAUAUGAGACACAUUGCAAGAAUAAUCCAGAUGCAAAAGGGUUGUAUGGAGUGUCCUUUCCUUACUAUGAUGAACUUUCAAUGGUAUAUU
This is an RNA transcript of Zea mays, 513 nucleotides long. RefSeq lists it as uncharacterized. The record is from RefSeq and is a predicted model, not a curated record. Lineage: Eukaryota; Viridiplantae; Streptophyta; Magnoliopsida; Poales; Poaceae. The transcript has 3 exons.